CAGUCUAUUAUUUGGUGAAGAAACAAAGCAUAUGGACCAUCAUUGAAAAGCCUGGAUCUCAGAGUAACUUCUUGUACACAAUCUUGCCUUUUCUCCCUUCCUUUUGUAGACUUUGUUCUUUAAUAAACAUCUUGUACCCAAACCACAUCUCCAGGUCUGUUGCCCAACAUCCAUAUCUAUGACAUUCAAAAGAAACCAGAAAACUUUUGUCUCAUUUUGAUUUUUCCUCCAGAGUCCUGCAAAUAUGAAUUCCCUGAAAAUGUAUGAAGUUACAGAAAGAAAUGGACAUUUGGUCUGCUUCAUUUCUGGACUUUUCCUGAAGAAGCAGCCCCUCUCUAGGACGCUGUUCAUCUUUAGGCAGAGGAAAUAUAACGCCAUGGAAGAACCACGUGGUGGCUCCUAUGGCUUCUACUGGGUGUGGAACAUAGCACUUUUUCUCACAUUUCUGUGGCUUAAGUAAGUCACAUGGCAAGGCUGUCAAUGGUGAGAAGUGCAGUUCUUCUCUAGGGAGGGCCUUUGGAGUAAGAGGUCCCACAGGGAGGGAUUUUUGUCUUUUUGUUGUUGUUGUUAUAAGAAUCUUUAGCUUUGCAAGCAUGCAAACCAAGGAAUAGUUGAUUUGAUGUCAUUUCACACCGAUGAGUUAAUGUUAUGACCCUGAAAAUAAUUCUUGGCAGUCAGUAUUGACUGGGGAGUGACAGAGUAGUAGAGAGUCAUGCAAAUGGGGGACUAUGAAAUUGAGAGUAGCUACUUCUCUCUAUGACCAGGAAGGGCAUCAAGGGCACAGCCCAAAUCCUUGCUGACCAAGGCACCCGGAGGAAGACUGAAUUUCAAUAAUAUGUCUGGUCAUACACCACUGAAGGGAAGGGUUUACUGGUUUGAGAGCUGGUAGGGAAGGGUAGAUCAAGCAAGGAUGUCACAAUCUGAGCAUCUGGUGAAGGCUGAAGGCUUAGUUCAGUUUUCAAGGGAGGAAACUUAUUUUUGAGGGGGAAGGGCAUGCCCUGAGUUCCUUUGUCUGAAAACCCCUCCCCUCCAUGAAUCCCCGGGGAGUAUGCAAGGAACUCGUGGCAAUGUAUGCAAAGAAGAAUAGUUACAGAUAGUCCUAUAUAUUAAAAUGUAGAGAGAUAAUGGGCUUAACCAGAUCUAUAUGAACCAAGCAGUUAGAACAUAAACCCUUGCAGACAGUUAGGUAAAGCAGACACAUGAGAAAGGAGAAGGACAAUCUAAUUCUUGAAUUAAUGUUACAUUCUAGCCUGAUCCUUUUGGGUAAAUGUCUCAUUUUCAUGCAAAUAAAUCUGUUUUAAGGACUCUAAAAGUAUUUCCACAAUGAUGUAAAUCGUUCUGGAUGAAUUCAAUAAAAGCAAGUAAUGAUCA
Herpailurus yagouaroundi (jaguarundi) is the source of this 1371-nucleotide long non-coding RNA. RefSeq lists it as uncharacterized. Lineage: Eukaryota; Metazoa; Chordata; Mammalia; Carnivora; Felidae. The transcript is spliced from 2 exons. The record is from RefSeq and is a predicted model, not a curated record.